UACGGAGGGUGCAAGCGUUAUCCGGAUUUACUGGGUUUAAAGGGUGCGUAGGCUGUCAGAUAAGUCAGUGGUGAAAGGCUGUGGCUUAACCAUGGGAAUGCCAUUGAUACUGUCUGACUUGAAUGAAGAAGAGGAUAGCGGAAUGUGACAUGUAGCGGUGAAAUGCUUAGAUAUGUCAUAGAACACCAAUUGCGAAGGCAGCUAUCUGGACUUGUAUUGACGCUGAGGCACGAAAGCGUGGGGAGCGAACAGG
This 253-nucleotide ribosomal RNA is filed under the name uncultured bacterium. RNAcentral's name for it is "partial 16S ribosomal RNA". It matches the Rfam family "Bacterial small subunit ribosomal RNA", at positions 524 to 776 of the family's 1533-position model. The record is from RNAcentral.